This is a non-coding RNA of Prunus mume (Japanese apricot), 2442 nucleotides long. NCBI's taxonomy places the organism in Eukaryota, Viridiplantae, Streptophyta, Magnoliopsida, Rosales, Rosaceae. The record is from RefSeq and is a predicted model, not a curated record.
UUGUCUUGCGCAGGGUUACAUAAGGAAACUAAGAUAUGGCAGUAGAACCUGUGCUUACUUUCGCGACCGAGGGAAUACUGACGAAGCUGACUUCCCUUGCUGCUGACGAAAUCAGUCUUGCUUGGGGAUUCAAAGCUGAACUAGGGAAGCUCGGUGAAUCCUUAUCCAUCCUUCAAGAUUUCUUAGGAGGUGCUGCUGAGAAGGCAAAAGAAUGAGAAGGCACAAGAUGGUGGCAAGGCAGUGGAACGCUGGGUGAAGAAACUUAAAGACAUAGCUGAUGAGGCUGAUGAUGUCUUUGAAGAACUCAACUAUGAACGUCUCCGGGGAGAAGUAGAACCGCAUAACGGUAUGGGAAAACAGAUUCUCAACUUAUUUUCUCCACAAAAUGAAAAUAUGGCACAUAGAAUUAAAAAAAUCAACGCUUCUAUGGAGGAGCUCAAGAAGGAUGCAGCUUUCGUCGGAUUAAUUGCAAUUGCAAAGAAAAAAGAUGCAACCCCUCAAAGAAUUAGAGAGGACCGAGAGACCAACGCAUUCAUUGGUAAAGAUGAAAUCAUCAUUGGAAGGAAGGACGCUGUGUCAGACAUAGUUACAACAUUGACUAACUCCAACAUGAAUCAAGAAAAUCUGUCGGUCAUGGCGAUUGCGGGAAUGCCAGGACUGGGAAAGACAACUUUGGCCAAGUCAGUGUACAAUGAUAAUUCAGUAACAGGGUAUUUUGAAAAAAGGAUAUGGGUGUGUGUGUCUGAUCCUUUUAACAUCAAUGUGAUUUUGAUAUGCAUGUUAGAAUCUCUUAACCCAUCAAAAGCCAAUGUAAGAGAAAAUCAAGAUGCAGUGCUUAAAUACAUUGAAGAAGAGUUGAGAGAGAAAAUAUACUUGCUGGUACUUGAUGAUGUUUGGAAUGAAGAGUCUGAGAAAUGGGAAAGGUUGAUGAGCUGUUUGUCAAAGUUGAAUUCUGCUCCAGGAAGCAAAAUUAUUGUCACUACCCGCAGUGGCAUAGUUGCAUCACUCACAGAAACACUUCCGCGGCCUAAAUUGGACCUUCUAUCAACAGAUGAAUGCUGGUCCAUAUUGAAACAUGCAGCUUGCUCAGAUGGUAGUUUAGAGGGAAUUGGACGGGAGAUUGCUAAAAAGUGUGAAGGUCUACCAUUGAUGGCACAGGUACACGUACUAUAUAUUAUACACAAGCAUUAUGACUUGAUUCAACUUUGGAUGGCUCAAGGAUUCCUCCAUCCUUCUGAAAAAAGUAAUCUAGAGAUGGAGGAUAUAGGUAAUGAAUAUUUUGAUAUUCUAUUCCAAAGAUCCUUAUUUCAAUAUGCUGAACUGGAUGAUGACGACAUUGUUAUUGAAUGCAAGAUGCACGAUCUCAUACAUGAUCUUGCAGAACGUGUAUCCGAAACUGGAAGCAUGAUGCGAGACUUCCAUGAGGAUGAAGAUGUUGCAACUCCCAUUAUAGAAAGAAUUCCAGAAGGAAGUAGUGGGAAAUUGAGAUCACUGUUUUCGAAUGCUAAAGCACUACCUGGAAACAUGUUGCCAUGGUUUAAAGCUUUACGUGUCUUGAAAUUAUGUGGGGCAUAUAUUGAGGAGCUUCCAAGUUCAAUUGAAGAGCUGAAACGCUUGAGAUAUCUUGACAUUUCCUGUACAGAAAUCAAAAGACUCCCAAAUUCUAUUGGCAAGCUGUAUAACCUACAGACAUUAAGAGCAACAUACUGCGGUCUUGAAGAAUUUCCAAAAGACGUGCAAAACUUGAUCAACUUGAGACAUGUUUAUUGUGAUAAGGAAACGAAAUUUCCAGCUGGAGUAUUAGGGAGAUUAACUAGCCUUCGAAAAUUACCUUAUUCUUAUGAGGAUAAUGAGGUGAUGGGUAGGGAAAUUGUGGAGCUGGCUGCCUUGAAUCAAUUGAAGGGUAAAUUGAUUAUUUGUAAUUUGGAAGACGUAAGGAAUGGAGAUGAGGCAAGUAAAGCUAAAUUAGAGGAGAAGAAAAAGGUACGCCACUUUUUAUUUGAAUGGACGAAAAACAGGUCAACAACCAAUAAUAAUGAAGAGGAUGUACUAGAAGGCCUCCAGCCGCAUUCUGAGUUGGAAAGGCUAGAGAUUAAAUAUUUCAUGGGUACUAAAUUUCCAUCAUGGAUGAUUAAGCUUGGCAAUUUAAAGCAGAUUAAGCUUAAGGAGUGCAACAGAUGUGAAAAAAUUGAAUGGAUGGAAGCACCAGAACAAGUCAUGGCAUUUCCUCGGUUGGAGAAGCUGGAGAUCGAGGAUUGUCCCAAAUUGAGAAAGGCUCCCAGUCAUCUUCCAUCUCUUCGAAAGUUGGUUGUAUACAGUUGCCCUAGUCUACAAUUUAUUCCAGAUUUGAACCUCUUCCCAUCCCUCCGUGAAUUGAACAUUGAAUCUUGUGAGAGAUUAGAGAGUUUGGUUGUAGUGGUCUACAAUCUAUUCCAUAUUUGA